This 465-nucleotide ribosomal RNA is filed under the name uncultured bacterium. RNAcentral describes it as "bacterial SSU rRNA". It matches the Rfam family "Bacterial small subunit ribosomal RNA", at positions 331 to 793 of the family's 1533-position model. The record is from RNAcentral.
CCAGACUCCUACGGGAGGCAGCAGUGAGGAAUAUUGGUCAAUGGCCGCAGGGCUGAACCAGCCAAGUCGCGUGAGGGAUGACGGUCCUAUGGAUUGUAAACCUCUUUUGUCAGGGAGCAAAGGGCGCCACGUGUGGCGUUUUGCGAGUACCUGAAGAAAAAGCAUCGGCUAACUCCGUGCCAGCAGCCGCGGUAAUACGGAGGAUGCGAGCGUUAUCCGGAUUUAUUGGGUUUAAAGGGUGCGUAGGCGGAAUAUCAAGUCAGCGGUAAAAAUUCGGGGCUCAACCCCGUCGUGCCGUUGAAACUGAUGUUCUUGAGUGGGCGAGAAGUAUGCGGAAUGCGUGGUGUAGCGGUGAAAUGCAUAGAUAUCACGCAGAACUCCGAUUGCGAAGGCAGCAUACCGGUGCACAACUGACGCUCAGGCACGAAAGCGUGGGUAUCGAACAGGAUUAGAUACCCCCGUACG